GCCACCGUAUGUUGACCUGCCCCCGGGCGGGCGCAGAGGUGGUCACCCCCCGGCGGACCACUAAAACCCUGUAUCGUUUGCGUCUGAGUAAGAAUCUUUGAAUUAAUCAAAACUUUCAACAACGGAUCUCUUGGUUCUGGCAUCGAUGAAGAACGCAGCGAAAUGCGAUAAGUAAUGUGAAUUGCAGAAUUCAGUGAAUCAUCGAAUCUUUGAACGCACAUUGCGCCCCUCGGUAUUCCGUGGGGCACACCUGUUCGAGCGUCAUUUCACCACUCAAGCCUCGCUUGGUAUUGGGCAACGCGGGCACGGGUGCCCGCGUGCCUCAAAUGCUCCGGCCGAGCAAGUCAGUCUCUUAGCGUUGUGGAAACCUAUUCGCUUUGUGGGCACUGGCGGCGCGCGCCGUUAAAAAGGGAAACGAUACGUUUACCGUAUUUUUUUGAAAGGUUGACCUCGGAUCAGGUGGGGAUACCCGCUGAACUUAAGCAUAUCAAUAAGCGGAGGAAAAGAAACCAACAGGGAUUGCCCCAGUAACG
Molecule: ribosomal RNA, 533 nt
Filed under: uncultured fungus
Lineage: Eukaryota; Fungi
Description: eukaryotic LSU rRNA
Rfam family: 5.8S ribosomal RNA (bases 111-264)
Source: RNAcentral